Molecule: ribosomal RNA, 614 nt
Filed under: Termitomyces sp. Term02
Lineage: Eukaryota; Fungi; Basidiomycota; Agaricomycetes; Agaricales; Lyophyllaceae
Description: eukaryotic LSU rRNA
Rfam family: 5.8S ribosomal RNA (bases 233-384)
Source: RNAcentral
CUUGUUCAUUUAGAGGAAGUAAAAGUGGUACCAAGUUUUCGGUAGUUGACCUGGCGGAAGGAUCAUUAUUGAAGUCUGGUGGUGGUUGGCCUUUUUCUGGCAAGGUCCACCCUUAAUUCAAACCCCCCUGUCCCCUUUUGGUAGCCGGAUUUUGUUUUGUCUAUCAAUCAUUUACUCCCGUGUAAUCAGAAUGUUAUUGAUUGGCCUCAGUGCCUUUAAUCAAAUAUUAUACAACUUUCAGCAACGGAUCUCUUGGCUCUCGCAUCGAUGAAGGACGCAGCGAAACGCGAUAAGUAAUGUGAAUUGCAGACACGUGAAUCAUCGAAUCUUUGAACGCACCUUGCGCUCCUUGGUGAUCUGAGGAGCAUGCCUGUUUGAGUGUCAUUAAAUUCUCAACCUAACCAACUUUUGGAUAGGCUUGGAUUGUGGGGGCUUUUGCUGGCUUCAACCCCUCAGAAGUCAGCUCCCCUUAAACGCAUUAGUGGAACGAUUUGUUGACCUUGUUUCCUGGUGUGAUAAAACCUUUAUCACCACCGUGUGCAGUCAGCUUACUCUGCUUCUAACCGAUUUUCAUUCACUCUUGACCAUUGACCUCAAAUCAGGUAGACUACCCG